CCUACGGGUGGCAGCAGUGAGGAAUAUUGGUCAAUGGGCGGAAGCCUGAACCAGCCAAGUAGCGUGAGGGAUGACGGCCCUACGGGUCGUAAACCUCUUUUGCACGGGAAUAAAGCGCUGCACGUGUGCUGCUCUGCAUGUACCUUACGAAUAAGGGCCGGCUAAUUCCGUGCCAGCAGCCGCGGUAAUACGGAAGGCCCGAGCGUUAUCCGGAUUUAUUGGGCUUAAAGGGAGCGUAGGCGGGCGUUAAAGUCAGCUGUAAAAUCUCGCGGCUCAACCUAAACUCGCAGUUGAAACUGGAAGCCUUGAGUUCACAACAGGCAGGCGGAAUUCGUGGUGUAGCGGUGAAAUGCAUAGAUAGCACGAGGAACCCCGAUUGCGAAGGCAGCCUGCCGGGGUGCGACUGACGCUGAGGCUCGAAGGUGCGGGUAUCAAACAGGAUUAGAUACCCGGGUAGUC
Molecule: ribosomal RNA, 459 nt
Filed under: uncultured bacterium
Lineage: Bacteria
Description: partial 16S ribosomal RNA
Rfam family: Bacterial small subunit ribosomal RNA
Source: RNAcentral